CCUGCUUGAUGAUUCUGAUGCUGUCGUAUGCUCGUAAGGCGUUAAUGCUCGGUUGAAAGUUAUCUUCUUCCGGGUUAUCGUCUCGGAAAGUUCUUCGAAACUGGGGAUAAAACGUUUUGUAAAGAUUAGUACCCUCGUCAUAGUAGGUCUUGAUUCCUAAAAUGCCUUGCAUGGAAGAAAUCACAGAACUGUUAAAAGAAUCGAAGUAACUCGAGAUGGUAUCCGUAAUGAUCCAAGCUGAGUCUCUUCCAACAAGUCCAAUGUCCUUUGCUUUCUCAAACAAAUGGAUUGUCAUCGGUAAUGACGAUUGAAGAACAAUGUAAACCCGAGAUUGAACGUUGAAUAAUUUUAUCAACUCAUCUUGCACAACUUUAUUUGGAUUAGAAACAGAAGAAAGUGGAGGAAGAACCAAUCGAUAUUCAAUCUCGGAACCAACAUCGCGUAGAGCCUCCGAUAAAAGAGCUAACUUCCCAGAAUCACCACCAAAGGCAUCAUCUUCAUAAAUUACAACAACCCUUUUCCAGUUAAAUGAACUGAUAGUAGCUGCAAUGCAUUUCAUUUGUUCGGAGUCACCAUUAGCCAUUGCUACCAAGAAAGGCCAACGAGUGGGUGUUAUUAUAGCUGGUGCUGCAAAUGAAAGAACCGGAACUCGAGCUCGGCUUCCUAUAUCAGCAACCAAAGCUGCUUCUUCCCAUGUUUCCAACCCAAUGAUUGCUUUAACUUCUUGUUCUUCAAUCAAUUUCUUAGCUGUAAUCAGAUUAACCAUUAGUAAAUGUUAAAUAAACCUCGUUGACAUACUAAUUAAGGGAUCACUAAAAAGAAUGAAUCACUAACCAGCAGUAGCUGCAAGUAAGGGAUCUCUUCUAGAAUUCUGAAUAUAAAGGGAGAGCUUAUGGUUGUUUGAAACGUUGUUAUUGAAACUCUGAACUGCUAUUUCCAAAGCUGUUUUCUCUUCUUUUCCGAUUCGAGAAUCGACGUCGAUGAUGGCACCGAUGUUAGUCACCUUGUUAUCGGUCUCGUCACCAUAUGAAGAAACGAGAAAGAGAGAUAUGAACACAAAAGUGAUACAAGGUCGUUGCAUGUUGUUAGGGAACUCGUAAAAUAAUUGCAUAUAUGAUACAUAUAGGAACUCAAAGCGUUUAAAUAAUAAUGAAAAAAGAUUCGUUUAAAAGCCGUCACUAUGGAAAUUUAUGCCCCGGAACUUUUGGUCUAUAUGUUGGACUUGGUCUGCCAUGAAAAAAGUCAGCUAUGUUUACUUCGUUAAAUGAUAGAGAAUCUUCAUGAAACGCCCCCCUUUUCUUUUUCUGGUUUUCCUGCAAAUUGUGGAAAGUUAGAGAUUUGACCCAUGAAAACUAGGACCAAAAUCAUUUCUGGAAAAAAAAAAUUAACGGAUAAUGAUAAAUUUAAAUCUAAAUCUAAAUCUUUGUAUCUUUUAUUUUAUUUAUUUGAUUCUUAUUUCUUUUUAACUAAAUUUGAUUUUUAACUUUUUAAAAAAUGUAAAAUUAUCUUUUUAACGGAAAUACAACUAAAAUAAUCAUCUUUUAAAGGAAAAAUGCUCAAAUUAGGGCUUAACAAUUUAGAUAUUGCUCACAUUUCAAAAUGGUCAAAUGAGACCCUAACCUUUAUGAAAGUUUUCAAUAGGGAUUUUUCAUGUACUUCAAUCCAAUUUGUAGGAAAAAUUAAGUAAAUAUUGAUGUGUUUAGAAUAAAACAUGUAACACCUGCAUUAAAUAUUGCUUGAAAAGAAAAGAAAAGAAAAGAAAAGAAAAGAAAGUAGUUAGAACAUAACUUGGAACUUGAUAUACGGCAUUUGAGAAUCUCUUAUUUAAGCAGUUUUGAAAAUGUUAGGCCCUUAUUUGAUCAUUUUGAAAGGUUUGACUUUCAUUUAAGCACUUUUGUACAAGUUAUGCCAUUACAUGACCAUUUUAAAAAGUUUGAUCAUUAUAUGAGCAACCCUUAAAAGGUUGGGCCAAUUUAAGCAUUUAACAACUUUUUAAUGAUGUUGGCGUGGCAACUAGCAUAGUAAUCCAUGUUUACUCUAUGUUAAUAUGGCACUAUUUAUCUUAUGUCACGUCAAUAAAUAAUUAUAAAAUUAUAAAAAUAUUUAAAAAUAAGAAGUUAUAAAAAAAUUAAAGGUUUUAAUUAGUAGUUCCCUUAAAAAAUAAUAAUGUAACUCAUUUUUUGGAAGGUUGAUUGUCAAAUUUAGCUCUUUUUAAAAGGUUUAGAGUUAAAUUUAGCUAAAAAAUAAAAUAAAGGUUAAACUAACAAAAAGAUGUAAAGGUUAAGUACUAAACAUAUAUCAUUAUGCUAAAAAUAAACUUAUUGAUUUAUAUUAGAAGAAUAAAACAAAUGAAAUUAUGUUACAGGUAACAGUAUACAGUUGCAAGAGCCUUCAUUGCUCUUCUUCGGUCUUUUAACCUCCUGGAAUGUACAGCAUUUCAACAUCAGCAGCUUCGGAGGAGGCGGCUUCAUGAUUCUCGGCUGCAUCGGGACUCGAAUAUUUCCAUCUCGGAGAUCCUCGUCCAACAAUUUCCGGCAGUUGAGGCCGAGUUUGGUCUAUAGCAAAAUUAAUUUGUUGUCCUUGGUAUAUAAAUCUAGCAAGCCUAAUUGCCUUACUCCAGAUACUAUUAUUUCUUGGACUAGUAUUGCUUCCAUAUUGGUCUUUUAUUAUCUUGAUGAUGAAUAAGAAGAAACAAAUGGUAGAUGUUGCACCAGAGAUUAUAUAGAGACCCCAGAAGCUAUGAAGCCUCAGUCUUUCGGUUCGAUUGUCGGUCACACUGGUUGAACACUCGGGUGAGGGUGCAAACCACUUCUCUUCAAGAUCUUUCAGCGCUCCGUUUUCCGAUAGAGUUAGGAUAGCUUUUGAGAAGUCCAUGGCGAUUGGAGAGCCUUUAUGGAACAUCUGCAUAGGUAAGAUUUUGUUUAAGUCCAUGGUGCUGAAAUGGAUAGAAACAAGUUUGGAAAAUACUACUUACAAAUCCCAAUCCUCCAAAUCUGUAGGUUGGUGUGGUGGCUGAAAAUUUCUUACAGUAAUUGUUGAUGAAGACCUUUUCGUAUGGAAGUUCGAGAAAUGCAGCAGCGAUGUGCUUCUUUUCGAAUUCUCCUAUAUAGUUGUCUUGGCUGUUGAUUGUCUUGAUGUUCUCCGAUUUAAACUGAAGCACAUCGACUAGAUAGUUUCUUACGAACGAAUCUCCGUCGCAACCUACUUUCAAGUUGUUCCUCUUCAGAAAUUCGAUGUCUGUCACAUUCACUUUCAGUUUAUUAACUGUCAACAUCGAGGAAAGACUAGCCGUGUAACUCGAGGUUAGGACAAGUGAAACAAAGAGCCAAACAAUAACCACAACUCUGGUGAAGUUGUUUUGUACAUUCUCCCCUGCAAAAAAAUGAGCAUUACUUGUAUUGUGAGUAUGCUUGAAUGUUUUCAAUCGCAUGCAGUUUCUGGUACUUACUAUGCGCGAAGAAGAGAGAAGAGCAAGUGAACCACAUCGCGGUUCCGAUUUGAGUCUUCCAUGUGCCUUCAAAUUCAGGAUUGGACUGAUGUUCCAGGAACCAAACUAUGAACAUUGUGUAGAUCAACAUGGCACCAGUAGCCAUCCACAUCUCCCAUGUAAAAGGCUUCAUGAACAUCCAUGCUGAUUCUUCGGAUUUUGCUGGUACGAUCAUGGACAACCCCGAUUCUGCAUAUGGCUGAGUAAACUCCACAAGUUCUGCUCUGUUGGCUAGUAUCGUUAUAUCCCCAACAACAGCAUCGAAAGUCUUCCAUGUGAAGCAUUUGUUAGACAAGAUAAUGAUAAACAUUUAACAAGGACUUGGAAAUUAGUUGAAAGAGUUCCCAUUCAUUACCUUGUUAUGCACGCAACGGACCAAAUCAUCGUAAGUGCUGAAAUGCGGUACAAAUUUGUAAGGCAGGUCAUAACCGAGAACCUCUCGUGCCAUUUUGAAAAGAUCAAUGCAAUAACCUUCAGGUUCCUCAUUUUGAUUACUUUCAUUUUUAACUUUCACAAAUUUCUCAAAAGAGGUUCUACCAGGAACUCCGAUAAUCAAUGGCCUUGCAUCCGUAGGCAUCGCCCAUCCUUUCGGGUUUCGGACUUGGUUCAAGUCAGCAGGCCAGGUGACUUGACCAUACAAUCCUUGAGCUGUAUUACCAUCAUGUUCAGUUUCUUCAUUAACAAGGCUCCUUGAGAAUCCAAAGCUUGGCAACCAAAAGUCAAGCUCUUUAUAUUUCUUGCCAACCACGUUUACUAUUCUCAAUGUAGGAUUGUGUGACAACAUGCCCCUUUCAAAUUGGAUUUCUCCACUUAAACCAGUGAAAUUGCUUGACAGGAUUUUUUCAGACAAUUGUUUUGAACUGAUAUUAGUGUUGAUCAUUCCUUCCAUAGCCUCGGUGAUGAUUUGGAUUGCAUCGUAUGCUUUUAAAGCAUAAAUUCCGGGUUCAAAGUUGUCUUCGUCCUCGUACUUUUUUCGGAAAACUUGCUUGAACUGCCCAUAAAAGCUUUCGUACUCGCUACUAUUCUCGGUAUAAUAGGUCUUGAUUCCUAAAACACCUGCCAUGGAUGAAAUUAUGGAGGUGUUGAAAGAGUCAAGGUAAGUUGUGAUUUUAUCUGUGAUUAUCCAAGCUGAAUCUCUUCCCAUAAACCCCAUGUUCUUAGCUUCUUCAAACAAAUGAAUGGUCAUAACUGAUGAUGCUUUAAGCACAACAAAAACCCGAGAUUCAAGGCUAAGAAGCUUCAUUAGCUCCUCCUGCAUAACUUCUUUGGUAUUAGACAGAGAUGAAAUUGGUGGAAGAACCAAGGUAUGUUCGAUUUCGGAACCAAUAUCUUGUAAAGCUUCGAUUAGAACAGCUAAUUUCCCAGAAUCACCACCAUAUGUUUCAUCUUCAUAAAUGGCGAUGACCUUUUUCCAUCCAUAUGAACGAAUGAUAGCUGCAAUGCAUGUCAUUUCUUCAGAGUCAUUGUUAGCCAUUUGUGCCAAGAAAGGCCAACGGAGAGCCGACAAUGGCAACGUUAUAGAAGGUGCUGUAAACGAGAGAACUGGAACUCGAGCUCGUGUCCCGAUUUCAGCAACCGGAGCCGCUAAUUCCCAUGUUUCCAAGCCGAUAAUGACCGUCACGUUGUUCUCUUUAAUCAGCUUUUCGGCUGCAACAGAAUUAAUUCCUUGUUACCAUAACUUAAAAAACAAGCAAUCAAUGAAUCAAUACUAUGAACAAAUCUGGUACAUGAAAUUACUACAAACCUGCAGCAGCAGCUAGCAUGGGGUCUUUUCCAUGGCUCUGAACAUAGAGGGAUAGCCCGUGAUUGUUCAACUUAUUGUUGAAGCUUUGAACGGCGAUUUCCAUGGCGGUUAUCUCUUCCUUCCCAGUACGGGACGUAACAUCGAUUACGGCACCAAUGUUUGUAACUUUAUGAUCAUCCUCCUUAGCUUGAACUCCUUUAGAGAUGAUAUUGAUGCAUGAAAAUAAGAUCAGUACCAGGAUGACGAGCUGACGUAUUAAAACUGUAUCAAUGUUAGCCAUUGUAUGAAGUCUUUGCAUACUGUUUUGGAACAUAUUACAAAAUAUCUUGAAUCAUGAUAAAACCAAACUAUGCUUUUAAGUUGUUUUAUGCUGAAUAAAAUUUGUGGCUAUAGUUUUAUUAAGCAAUUAAGACAUGUUACGGAAACCCAAAUAUCUGGUCCAACUAAUGUAAUGAAAUGUCUUAAAGUUGAUCUUCUCAAAGGAAAAAAGUCAACUGCAUUUACCUUGCAACUCAAGUUAUCUUGAAUCUAGAUUGUAGGAGUUGACGUGGCUUGGUUUUGAUUCAGUAUUUCAAGAAGCAAGAAUAUUCUGACCAAACAGGAUACUUACUAGGAUUAAACUUGGAAGCGUGUUGGUAGGGGUGAUAAANNNNNNNNNNNNNNNNNNNNNNNNNNNNNNNNNNNNNNNNNNNNNNNNNNNNNNNNNNNNNNNNNNNNNNNNNNNNNNNNNNNNNNNCAAAAGAAAAUGAUCAAAAUAUAUAUAUUUUAAUUUAUAAUUAAUUUUAUAUUUUUUAAUUAAAACUUCUUGAAUUUUUAUAUAUUUUAGUUGGAUAAUUUUGUAUGUUAUGUAAUUCAUUUAAUUUUGUAAAAAUUAAUAUAAUAUAAAGUUUAUUAAAUAUUUUGUAUAAUAUGUAUUUCAUCGGGCACUUGGGCUUAGAUUUGUUCAUGGGUUGGGUCACUCAACCCGACCUAAAGGCCUAUUUGAAAAGUGAGAGGGUUUGGGUAAAAAUAUGAGUUCAAAAAAAUAAGGCCCAUUUAGAAAACAAGUCGAGCCUCGAGUAAGAUUUUUUUGGCCCUAGUCAGGCCUGACCCAAAAAUUCAAAAAAAGAUGAUAUUUUUUCACUAUUUUGCUAUCAUUUCAUUAUUAUGUUACUAUUAUGUUGUUGUUAUUGUAUAACUCUUAUUUUAUUGUUAAUUUUGUUACUAUUUUAAGGUAUUUGCUUGUUAAGUUGCACCUAUCUUAGUGCUAUUUAAGUAUAUAUAUAUUUAAAUUUAUUUUCAAUUUGUUGGGAAUUAUUUAUAUUAAUGUUUUUAGUAUUUUUUAUAUAUAUUUUAAAAAAAUAUAUAAAACUUUAAUAUAAAUAGGGCGGACUCGAGUUUUAACAUUUUUAUCCAAACUGAACUCAAGUAAAAUUUUAAGCCCACUUUUUAGGUCAGACUUGGCAAAUAAGUCUAAAAUUUUAGUUGUACUAACCUGACCGAUUGACACUUUUACUUGGGCUUAUUGAUUAAAGAUUUGACUUUUAGGCUGAAUUUAUCUAAAUUUAUAUAAAAAUUUAAUUUGUUUUUGAUAGAUUUGUAACAAAUGCCCAAUGAUUGUUGGGCUUGGAAACCCUAAACCGAAGCGAGAGCAAAGCUUAAUAAAAAGCCCGUUUAGUUACAUUACUGAAUUUCGAUUCAAUUUCCCUCGAAUCGGGAAAAGUAAAACUGAGCUUAAAAUUAUGGCGCAGUUCUGAAAACCGGGAACCGAGAAGCCCCGCCUCGUCGAGGACAAGGAUGGCGGUGUUAUUUUCUUGUCAUCUUCUUACUCUUCAUCUUCUUCUGGGUAUUUUUUCUCUCACUAUUUUUUAUUUAAUUUUUGUUCUUUGAUUGUUCUUCUUUUGUCUUUUCUCUUCCUUAUUUGUUUUUCCUUAUUUUACAGAUAUGGGUACGUGAGCAUUGAGAAGCAAAGACAGAGGCUUCCAGUUUAUAAGUAUAGAACUGCUAUUCUUUAUUUAGUGGAGUCUCACGCUACUACCAUUGUUGUUGGUGAAACGGGUAGUGGUAAAACCGCUCAAAUUCCACAGGUUUUCUCUCCUUUUUCUUUAUUUAAAAGUAAAAUCUUGAACUGUUUACUUGCCUCCCUCUUUGUGAUUUGAAGUUCAUUCUGAAUCUUUUGUUGCUAGGAGUCUUGACUAUAAUAUGCUUGAAUUGCAGUUUUUAAAAGAAGCUGGUUGGGCUGAUGGUGGGCGUGUUAUAGCUUGCACGCAACCAAGACGACAAGCUGUGCAGGAAGCUUUGAACUCCUAUUCGUCUGCAUUUUCAUCUUUUUCAAGUGAAUGUAAAUGUAACAUUCAUUUCUAAUCAGAUGUGUGAGUCCAUGCCAUAGCAUAUAAUAUUCGUUGUCCGAGUAACUAACAUAAAAAAUUAUUCAUUUUAUAUUUAAUUUAUGAGCAAACAUGCAUAUAAUAUAAUAUACAAUAUUUCAGUUCAUACCAGUUUACGAAAAUUAUAUUGCUAACAUGAGAUUGAAUUAAGAUCAAAUUGUAAUGAUUUUAAAAUAUGAAGUUGACAUUGUGACUUUAAGAGCUUCUCGUCGUGGUGCAACUUAUUGACUAAAUUUCGUCGUGACGAUAAAAGUCUAACAUCAAGACGUAACCGUCUGUUUCUAAAUGGUAUAAUUUGACGCCUAACAAACUUCACAUAUAAAACCAUUCCAAAUCAACUAUUUCCCAUUUCAGCCAAAUAUACAAGAUUCAAAGGCUUAAUUCCAUACACUACUACCUUAAUCACUAAUGUACUAAUACGAUACAAUGAUUCCAUCAAUACCAUAUAACUUGUAAACUAAAAUCAUAGUAUAAGCCACUCAAGCAUUUGGUAUGAAUAUACAUCUUAAAUUUGACCGUGACCAUUUCCAUGUUAUGCAUUCCAAAUUUUAGCAUACUCAAUUUCAUAAUUCAACUAUGUGACUAAUUUCAAAAACAUUAAUUCUAACUUUAUGAUUAAACAUAAUCACUUAUCGUGUUAUAAAUCGACUCAAUUUAAGUACAUGUCAUAUAUUUAUAUUUAACAAAAAAAUUAUACAAAUUUUGUUGAGUCGAGGAUUGCUUCCUUUACGCUAAAGUUACUUUUCAUAAUCUUGAAGUCCACCUGUACUUGCACACAGAGAAAACAAGCCGUACACUCAAUGAUAACGCUCAAUAAUAUUUUCAUAAUUCAAAUCAUUAUAAUACAAGUUUAAACCAAUUGCAUUCAUUCAAUUCAUAGCCCAUCUUUAUACAAUUUCAUGCCCAACAACUUUCAAUACAAUAUAAACAUGCACAUAAUUAUUUUAAAAAAUUAAUUCACUAUGUAUGCAUACCAACUUGUCAUUUACCAUUCAAUUCACAUACUACCAAAUCAAUUCGCUAUGUAUUCAUCUAUACUUAGAUUUUGCUAAUAUUUUAUGUCUGUCUGUAUGUCUAGAUGUACACGUGUUAUGGGAAUUCCAUUACAAGUAUAUUUUGAUACGUUGCACUACAGUGGAUUUUUGACCUGUUAUUAGUUGUCACUCUGUUUACAUAUGUGUUUCAGGAAAAUUACAAGCAAAAUAUUUCGAUUUUUCUCCACAAGAUCCAUAUAAGAAGGCUGGCUAAUAUAAUUUACACUACAGCUGGAUUUCAUCUAACCGAGAUUAAUCUUUUGUUUUGUCAAUUGUGAGCCUGCAACUGUAUUCCAAUCUCAGAUUCUGUUUGUGAUUUAACCUCAUGAUUCUCCAUGCUUAUAUGAGAUGAACUCCGAUCAUAAUCCCAUGUCUGUGAGCUCCAUUUAUAGAUAACUGGUACUCGGGGUGCUGCCGAAACUUCCCCUCGAACACAAACUUUCCCCUUAUAAAUGCAUUUAGCAACUCUCAUUGCCUUGUUCCAAACACUCUCAUCAACUAGAGACAAGGUACCAGCAUUAUUCUCCUCCUCAUGGUGCCAAUAUCGCUUUAGCGAGUAAGCGAGGAAGAGCAGCAAACAAACAGUAGAUGUGGCCACGGAUAUAAGGAAAAGACCCCAGAAGCUAUGGAUGCUCAAGCUAUUGGUUUUACUUUCCUCGGUUACGUCGGCCGAACACUCCGGUGAAGGAGCAAACCAUUUUUGUUCCAAUGAUAUUAGAGUCCCAUCUUCAGAUAACUUUAAAAUGGCUCUUGAAAAAUCUCUGGCUAUUGGAGAACCUUUCUGAAAUAUCUGCAUAUAUAUAAAGAGUUGCAUUACAUUUAUUUCUAUAAAUUUUUGCAGCAAAGAUUCACCAAGUUAGCAAUAUCAUAUACUCACAAAGCCUAAUCCACCGAAUGUGUAUGUAGGUGCGGUAGUGGUAAAUUUCUUGCAGUAAUGGUUAAGGAAAACUUUCCCAUACGGCACUUCAAGAAAUGCAGCAGCUAUAUGGUUGCUCUUGAAUUCCCCUUCAUAAUUGUAUUCACUGCUAACGUUUUCGAUAUUGUAACUUUUAAACUUGAGGACAUCUUCCAAGUAGGUUCUUACGAACGAAUCACCAUCACACCCGAUUUUCACGUUGGACCGCUUUAGCCAUUCAAUAUCCGUAACAGUCGGUUCUAAUCGUUGCACGGUGAGCAUUGAAGUUAGACUAGCAGUGUAACUAGAGGUUAAGAUCAACGCAACGAAUAGCCAUACUACAACCACAACUCUAGUUAGGUUACUGUAAAUUUUCUCCCCUGAAGAAGGAAAAUAUGAACUGUUUUAGCCUCGGCUAAAUUUUCAUACGUAAAGAAGUAUACAUUUUUGCAGUGGAACUUACUGUGAGCAAAGAAAAUGGAGGAGAAAGUGAACCAAAAUACAGUGCCAAUCUGAUUGUUCCAUGGACCUCUAAAGUCAGGAUUGGACUGGUGUUCUAAGAACCAUACUAUGAACAUUGUGUAGAUUAAGAUGGAACCGGUGACAAACCACAUUUUGGUGGUGAAAGGCUUGAGGAACAUCCAUGCCGAGCUCUCCGGCUUCACCGGAACUAUCAUGGAUAACCCUGAUGCUGCAUAUGGCUGAGUAAAUUCCACUAAAGUUGUUCUAUUAGCUAGUAUAGUUAUGUCACCUACAGCUGCAUCAUAAGUCUUCCAUUGAUUUUGGUAUACACACAUACAAAAAAAAAAAAUUAAUAGAGACAAAACAAGCAUCUAAAUCAAGUAGGUGAGUGUCAUAGUUUCUUUUUCACAUCAUUGUCUAAAUAUCAACUAAAAGUUUGACAAGUUAUCUACGAAAUUCCUGGAAAUAUAAUGGAAUUAUAUAAAAUUUCAGGAAAAACAAAUCAAGGUAAUUAAAAUAAGAACAAGAAGUUUCAGGGCUAUUGCCUUGUUGUUUUACUUUGUUGGCCUUGUUAAAAGGUUGCUUUCACUGUAGCUUGUAAGAAACUCUCAUUUUUUUGUUUAAUAAUGAUAAAUAAAUGGUUCAUUACACUUGAAAUUAUGGUUAAAUUAUAUGAAUAUUUUCUGUCAUAAUCACAAAAAUUGAGAUUAUUAACAAAAAAAAUAUUGAAAAAAAAUGGACCAAGAGACAAAGGGCAUUUUACCUUGUUGUAGACUUUGUGAACAAGUUCAUCAUAUGUGCCAUUGUGGGGAUCAAAUUGAUAAAUUAAAUCAUAAUCGAGAACAGUUAGAACUUCAUAGAAAAGUUCAAUGCAGAAACCAUCAUAUUUCUUUUGGCCUGGAUGUUUACCAUCGUCAACCUUUACAAAUUUCUCAAAUGCGGUUCUUGCUGGAACUCCAAUUAUCAUUGGUUUCUUAUUUGUUGGCAUUGCCCAUCCUUUAGGAACUAGCUUUGAACCAUCUGGCCAAAUGACUGUACCAGUAAAAUCUGCAGAUUUAUUACCAACAUAACCAAUGUUCUUUGAGAAUCCAAUCCCUGGUAACCAGAAAUCCAACUCAUUAUAACUUUUUCCAAUCAAGUUUACAAUCCUUAGUAUAGGAUCAUGUGAUAAUUUGCCUUGUUGAAAGUGAAUUUCGCCGCUUAAACCUGUGAAAUUGCUUGAAAGUAUGUUUUUCAACAACGAAUCUGGACUGUUUUCAUCACUGUCCAUGGCCUGCUUGAUGAUUCCUGUAGAAAAUUGAUCAAUAUUUGGCGUUAAUGCUCGGUUGAAAGUUAUCUUCUUCUGGGUUUUCGUCUCGGAAAGUUCUUCGAAACUGGGGAUAAAACGUUUUGUAAAGAUUAGUACCCUCGUCAUGGUAGGUCUUGAUUCCUAAAAUGCCUUGCAUGGAAGAAAUCACAGAACUGUUAAAAGAAUCGAAGUAAUUCGAGAUGGUAUCCGUAAUGAUCCAAGCUGAGUCUCUUCCAACAAGUCCAAUCUCCUUAGCUUUUUCAAACAAAUGGAUUGUCAUCGGUAAUGACGAUUGAAGAACAAUGUAAACCCGAGAUUGAACGUUAAAUAAUUUUAUCAACUCAUCUUGCACAACUUCGUUUGGAUUAGAAACAGAAGAAAACGGAGGAAGAACCAAUCGAUAUUCAAUCUCGGAACCAACAUCGCGUAGAGCCUCCGAUAAAAGAGCUAACUUCCCAGAAUCACCACCAAAGGCAUCAUCUUCAUAAAUUACAACAACCCUUUUCCAGUUACAUGAACUAAUAGUAGCUGCUAUGCAUUUCAUUUGUUCGAAGUCACCAUUAGCCAUUGUUACCAAGAAAGGCCAACGAGAGGGUGUUAUUAGAGCUGGUGCUGCAAAUGAAAGAACCGGAACUCGAGCACGGCUUCCUAUAUCAGCAACCAAAGCUGCUUCUUCCCAUGUUUCCAACCCAAUGAUUGCUAUAACUUCUUGUUCUUCAAUCAAUUUCUUAGCUGUAAUCAGAUUAACCAUUAGUAAAUGUUAAAUAAACCUCGUUGACAUACUAAUUAAGGGAUCACUAAAAAGAAUGAAUCACUAACCAGCAGUAGCUGCAAGUAAGGGAUCUCUUCUAGAAUUCUGAAUAUAAAGGGAGAGAUUAUGGUUGUUUGAAACAUCGUUAUUGAAACUUUGAACUGCAAUUUCCAAAGCUGUUUUCUCUUCUUUUCCGAUUCGAGAAUCGACGUCGAUGAUGGCACCGAUGUUAGUCACCUUGUUACCGGUCUCUUCACCAUAUGAAGAGACGAGAAAGAGAGAUAUGAACACGAAAGUGAUACGACAAGGUCGUUGCAUGUUGUUAGGGAACUCAUAAAAUAAUUGAAAAUAUGAUACAUAGAGGAACUCAAAGCAUUUAAAUACCAGUGAAAAAAAGAUUUGUUUAAAAGCCGCAGCUAUGGAAGUUUAUGUCCUAUAACUUUGGGUCUAUAUGUUGGACUUGGUCAGCCAUGAAAAUAGUUGACUAUGUUUAUUUCAUUAAAUCAUUGAGAAUCUUCAUGAAACCCCCCCUUUUCCUUUUUCUGGUUUGCUGUUAAUUGUGAAAAGUACGAGAUUUUACCCAUGAAAACUGAUCAUUUCUAAAACAAAAAUAAAUAAUAAUAUUAACAUCUUUUAUUUAUUUGUCUCUUAUUUUUUAUAGUAAAAUUUGAUUAUUAAUAGUUUAAAAAGUACUAACAUUAUAGAAAAUUAGGCUUUUAGCGGCGUUUUUAGUGACGUUUAAAUAAAAAAAGCUGCAAAUAUAUAUCAUUAGUGGCGCUAACAAAAAAAUACUGCAAUAGCGGCGUUUAUGGGCAAGGCUUGAGGAACAUCCAUGCCGAGCUCUCAGGCUUCACUGGAACUAUCAUGGAUAACCCUGUUUCUGCAUAUGGCUGAGUAAAUUCCACUAAAGUUGUUCUAUUAGCUAGUAUAGUUAUGUCACCUACAGCUGCAUCAUAAGUCUUCCGUUGAUUUGGGUACACACAUAAAAAAAAAAAAGAAGAAUCUUAUUAGAGACAAAACAAGCAUCUAAAUCAUAUAGGCGAGUGCCAUAGUUUCUUUUUCACAUUGUCUAAAUAUAUACUCAAAGUUUGACAAGUUAGCUACGAAAUUUCCUGGAAAUAUAAUGGAAUUAUAAGAGAUUUCAGGAAAAACAAAUCAAGGUAAUUAAAGUAAGAAUAAGAAGUUUCAGGGCUAUUGCCUUGUUUUACUUUGUUGGAUUUCUUUCACUGUAACUUGUAAGAAACUCUUUUUUAUUUGUUUAAUAAUGAUAAAUAAAUAAUUCAUUACGCUUGAAAUUAUGGUUAAAUUAUAUGAAUAUUUUCUAUCAUAGUCACAAAAAUUGAGAUUAUUAACAAAAAAAUAUUGAAAAAAAAAUGGACCAAGAGACAAGGGCAUUUUACCUUGUUGUAGACUUUGUGAACAAGUUCAUCAUAUGUGCCAUUGUGGGGAUCAAAUUGAUAAAUUAAAUCAUAAUCGAGAACAGUUAGAACUUCAUAGAAAAGUUCAAUGCAGAAACCAUCAUAUUUCUUUUGGCCUGGAUGUUUACCAUCGUCAACUUUUACAAAUUUCUCAAAUGCGGUUCUUGCUGGACCUCCAAUUAUCAUUGGUUUCUUAUUUGUUGGCAUUUCCAUCCUUUAGGAACUAGCUUUGAAUCAUCUGGCCAAAUGACUGUACCAGUAAAAUCUGCAGAUUUAUUACCAACAUAACCAAUGUUCUUUGAGAAUCCAAACCCUGGUAACCAGAAAUCCAACUCAUUAUAACUUUUUCCAAUCAAGUUUACAAUCCUUAGUAUAGGAUCAUGUGAUAAUUUGCCUUGUUGAAAGUGAAUUUCGCCGCUUAAACCUGUGAAAUUGCUUGAAAGUAUGUUUUUCAACAACGAAUCUGGACUGUUUUCAUCACUGUCCAUGGCCUGCUUGAUGAUUCCUGUAGAAAAUUGAUCAAUAUUUGGAGAAAUAAAACAAAGAAAUUGAUAAAUAAUAUAAUGAAAAGAGAAAUAAUUUUUUAUGGAAGAAAGAAAACACCCUUUCUAAUAAAUUUUUAUUUCACUCACACUUAAAAAUUCUUCAUCACAUACAACUCUUUAUAUAGGAGUUGUAAAUGACUAUUCAUCUACAUGAGGAGUCUACAUGAGGAGUUGUGACUAUUCAUUUACAUAACUUAAAUGCUAUAGGAGUACUUGUAACUAUUCAUGUGUAUAGCUUUUUAUCUUCAAGUCUCUUCACUCUUCAUAACUUUUCAUAAUUUAUUUGUGCAAGAUUAAUUUAAUUAUGUGCCAACAAUGCCUCCCUUCAAUUAAACUUGCUUCGAACUCCCAACCUUUCAACAUUUUUCUUAAAGACUUGUCCACUUAGCGGUUUUGUGAAGAUAUCAGCCAUCUGAUCUUUUGUCUUGCAAUAUUCAACUUGAAUAUCACCAUUAUUCACUAGUUCCCUCAAGAAGUGAUACCGAAUGCAAAUGUGUUUUGUCCUUCUAUGAAGAACUGAAUCUUUUGUGACCGAAAUAGUAGAACUAUUGUCACAAAACAAAAUCGUUGACUUACUCUGCUUCUGCUUAAGACUUUCCAAAAUUCCACGUAACCAAAUCAAUUGACGUCCUGCAUAAGAUGCAGCGAUAUAUUCAGCUUCUGUAGUCGAAAGCGCCACAAUUGAUUGUUUCUUUGAGCUCCAUGAAACUACACCACUACCAAGGUGAAAAACAUAACCAGAAGUGCUUCUGCUAUCAUCAAUGCUUCCUGCUAAAUCACUAUCCAUAUAACCAAUGAGAUCAACUAAUGUAUUAGCUUUAUAGAAAAUUCCAUAAUCAAUGGUUCCCUUCACAUAUCUCAAUAUUCUCUUGGCAACCUCCCAGUGAUUGGAGUAAGGUUUCUCCAUGAAUCUACUCACCAAGCUAACAACAUACAUGAUGUCAGGCCUUGUCGAAGUCAGAUACAUCAACUUCCCAACCAAACUUUUGAAUAUGGUGGAAUUGACAAGCUUUCCUUCACCCUUUUUAGAUAACUUCAGACCUGUAAUGCAUGGAGUAGAGACUGGAUUCGCAUUUUUCAUCAUGAACUUUUUUAGAACUUCCUUUGCGUAGCUCUCUUGUGAAAUAAAAAUUCUUUUUUCGGAUUGAUGAACUUCAAUGCCAAGAAAAUGAUGAAGUUCUCUCAAAUUUGUUAUCUUAAAUUCUGCCAUCAUUGAGUGCUGAAAUUCUUUCAACAUUUUCACAUCAUUUCCUGUGAAAAUAAGAUCAUCAACGUAGAGACUUACAAACAUGAAUCUUCCUUGAGAAUUGCCUUUGAUGUAGAGAGUAUACUCAUAUGGAGAUUUCUGGAAUCCACAUUGCAAAAUCAGAAUAUGCCUUGCUUUAUUGGUGCUCAUAAAGGAGUUUCAAAGUUAUGGCAUGAUAGAUAUGGACAUUUGAACUAUGGAAAUUUGGUAAAUGCUUUCAAGGAAGAUGAUGGUCAAAGGUUUACCAAAAAUCGAUCGGCUUGAUGAUGUUUGUGAAGCAUGUCAACUUGGAAAGCAACACAAAAUUGCUUUUCCUUCUCAAUCCUCGUGGAAAGCAAGAAGUCACAGGGUUACAGGGAUGCCCCUCGGGCAGAAAAACACAUUAUGAAUGCCAAGAAGUCACAGGGUUACACGAAUGUCCCUCGCAAGUCAUCCGUAUCAGAUGUAAAAUCAUCUCGGCGGCCUAUUAGUUUCUUUGAAAGUGACAGAGAGGAGUCUAAGUAUGAAACUGAAGGGGAAGAAGAUGAGAGGUCUGCACACAAUAGGAUUGAGGACGAGGAGCUAGAAUAUGAAGAAUCGGAGGAAGAGGAAGAGGAAGAGCGCUAUGAAGAGGCAGAUGCUAACGCUAACAGAGCUUCAAAGGAGGAAGAGGAAGCUGAGGAGCCUAGGCAAAAAGUGAAGGAGUCUGUUGGCAGCAGUAAGCGCAAGGGAAUCGAGUCGAAUGAGGACUCACCUCCUAGAAAAGCUCCCACACAUCGUCACAUGGCAGUUGUUUAUGAUAGUGAUGAGGAAUGAAACAAGAUUACAGGGGAAAUAAUCGUAUCCUCAAACAAUGAACUAUUGACACACAACUUUGGUGGCUGGAAAGGAUGUUGGAGUUGAGCUUGCUGCUUACUUCACUGAGUUAUAUAACACUGCUGGAGACAACUUAAGGUUUAAAUGUUAAUUGUAUUUUCACUCCCCUUUUCUGAAAUUGUUAUAUAUGACUUCCAAAUUAAGUUGAGCUCAGAAAAGUAAUUGCUUUAGAAUUUGAGGAAAAGAAUUGCAGGCAAGUUAUUAUUUUUCUAUCCCAUAAUGUGAAAACUUGGUGUUAUAGACUCUUUAAAAAAAAUUUGUAGAAAAUUGAUCAAUAUUUAGAGAAAUAAAACAAAAAAAAUGAUAAAGAAUAUAAUGAAAAGAGAAAUAAUUUUGUAUGGAAGAAAGAAAACACCCUUUUUAAUAAAUUUUUCAUUUACAUAACUUAAAUACUAUAGGAGUUGUAACUAUUCAUGUGUAUAACUUUUUAUCUUCAAGUCUCUCCACUCUUCAUAUUCAAGUCUCUUCACUCUUCAUAACUUUUCAUAAUUUAUUUGUGCAAGAUUAAUUUAAUUAUGUGCCAACAAUUCCGAUGCUGUCGUAUGCUCGUAAGGCGUUAAUGCUCGGUUGAAAGUUAUCUUCUUCCGGGUUUUCGUCUCAAAAAGUUCUUCGAAACUGGGGAUAAAACGUUUUUUGUAAAGAUUAGUACCCUCGUCAUAGUAGGUCUUGAUUCCUAAAAUGCUUUGCAUGGAAGAAAUCACCGAACUGUUAAAAGAAUCGAAGUAAUUCGAGAUGGUAUUCGUAAUGAUCCAAGCUGAGUCUCUUCCAGUAAGUCCAAUCUCCUUAGCUUUUUCAAACAAAUGGAUUGUCAU
This 16903-nucleotide long non-coding RNA is filed under the name Gossypium raimondii (Peruvian cotton). RNAcentral's name for it is "long non-coding RNA (GRAI_LNC008818)". The record is from RNAcentral. Lineage: Eukaryota; Viridiplantae; Streptophyta; Magnoliopsida; Malvales; Malvaceae.